Molecule: ribosomal RNA, 859 nt
Filed under: Acinetobacter sp.
Lineage: Bacteria; Pseudomonadati; Pseudomonadota; Gammaproteobacteria; Moraxellales; Moraxellaceae
Description: bacterial SSU rRNA
Rfam family: Bacterial small subunit ribosomal RNA
Source: RNAcentral
GGUAGCUUGCUACUGAUCUUAGCGGCGGACGGGUGAGUAAUGCUUAGGAAUCUGCCUAUUAGUGGGGGACAACAUUUCGAAAGGAAUGCUAAUACCGCAUACGUCCUACGGGAGAAAGCAGGGGAUCUUCGGACCUUGCGCUAAUAGAUGAGCCUAAGUCGGAUUAGCUAGUUGGUGGGGUAAAGGCCUACCAAGGCGACGAUCUGUAGCGGGUCUGAGAGGAUGAUCCGCCACACUGGGACUGAGACACGGCCCAGACUCCUACGGGAGGCAGCAGUGGGGAAUAUUGGACAAUGGGCGGAAGCCUGAUCCAGCCAUGCCGCGUGUGUGAAGAAGGCCUUAUGGUUGUAAAGCACUUUAAGCGAGGAGGAGGCUACUUUAGUUAAUACCUAGAGAUAGUGGACGUUACUCGCAGAAUAAGCACCGGCUAACUCUGUGCCAGCAGCCGCGGUAAUACAGAGGGUGCAAGCGUUAAUCGGAUUUACUGGGCGUAAAGCGCGCGUAGGCGGCUAAUUAAGUCAAAUGUGAAAUCCCCGAGCUUAACUUGGGAAUUGCAUUCGAUACUGGUUAGCUAGAGUGUGGGAGAGGAUGGUAGAAUUCCAGGUGUAGCGGUGAAAUGCGUAGAGAUCUGGAGGAAUACCGAUGGCGAAGGCAGCCAUCUGGCCUAACACUGACGCUGAGGUGCGAAAGCAUGGGGAGCAAACAGGAUUAGAUACCCUGGUAGUCCAUGCCGUAAACGAUGUCUACUAGCCGUUGGGGCCUUUGAGGCUUUAGUGGCGCAGCUAACGCGAUAAGUAGACCGCCUGGGGAGUACGGUCGCAAGACUAAAACUCAAAUGAAUUGACGGGGGCCCGCACAA